RNAcentral lists this antisense RNA (509 nucleotides) under Streptomyces sp. CB03234. RNAcentral describes it as "Saccharopolyspora sRNA 350". It matches the Rfam family "Saccharopolyspora sRNA 350". The record is from Rfam by way of RNAcentral. Lineage: Bacteria; Bacillati; Actinomycetota; Actinomycetes; Kitasatosporales; Streptomycetaceae.
CGGACGGUGAACUCCCACUUGGCGUCCUUGUCGCAGGCCAGCAUCCGGCCGCCGAAGGAGUCGCCGUCGGCGAGCAUCCCCAGUCGCGUCUCGGCGUCGUCGUACUUGGCCUUGCCGAGCUUCUCCACCUUGCCGUGGGCGAUCAGGAAGACCUGGUCGGCCUUGCGGCCGCUCUCCACGAUCACCUGACCGGCGUCGAACUCCUUCUGGACGAACUUGUCGGCCAGCGCCGCCAGCGCGGUGGGGUCGCUGAACCCGCGCAGCAGCGGCAGUUCGCCCAGCUCCGCCGGUACGACCUGCACCUUGGACCCGGUCUGGACGAACGUCACCCGGCCGUCCCCGACCGCGUACGACAGCCGUCGGUUGACCCGGUAGGUGCCGCCGGGGGUGUGGACCCAGGGGAGCUUGCGCAGCAGCCAGCGGGAGCUGAUCUCCUGCAUCUGCGGCUGGGACUUGGUGGUGGUCGCGAGGUUGCGCGCCGCCUUGGUGCUGAGGCUCAGCUGUACGGA